UGGGGAAUAUUGGACAAUGGGCGCAAGCCUGAUCCAGCCACGCCGCGUGAGUGAUGAAGGCCUUCGGGUCGUAAAGCUCUGUGGGGAGGGACGAACCGCUGCACGUUCAUAGCGUGCAGCAUGACGGUACCUCCUUAGCAAGCACCGGCUAACUUCGUGCCAGCAGCCGCGGUAAUACGAAGGGUGCAAACGUUGCUCGGAAUUAUUGGGCGUAAAGCGCACGUAGGCGGCUUGACAAGUCGGAUGUGAAAUCCCGCAGCUCAACCAAGGAAGUGCAUGCGAAACUGUCGGGCUUGAGUAAGAAAGAGGAAGGCGGAAUGCGCGGUGUAGAGGUGAAAUUCGUAGAUAUCGGGAGGAACACAGGUGGCGAAGGCGGAGAACUGGGUCGAUACUGACGCUGAGGUGCGAAAGCGUGGGGAGCAAACA
Molecule: ribosomal RNA, 426 nt
Filed under: uncultured bacterium
Lineage: Bacteria
Description: bacterial SSU rRNA
Rfam family: Bacterial small subunit ribosomal RNA
Source: RNAcentral